CCUACGGGUGGCAGCAGUGGGGAAUAUUGCACAAUGGGGGAAACCCUGAUGCAGCGACGCCGCGUGAGUGAAGAAGUAUUUCGGUAUGUAAAGCUCUAUCAGCAGGGAAGAAACCCACCCUCCGGGGUGGCUGACGGUACCUGACUAAGAAGCCCCGGCUAACUACGUGCCAGCAGCCGCGGUAAUACGUAGGGGGCAAGCGUUAUCCGGAUUUACUGGGUGUAAAGGGAGCGUAGGUGGCAAGGCAAGUCAGCGGUAAAAUUGCGGGGCUCAACCCCGUCGAGCCGUUGAAACUGGCAGACUUGAGUUGGCGAGAAGUACGCGGAAUGCGCGGUGUAGCGGUGAAAUGCAUAGAUAUCGCGCAGAACGCCGAUUGCGAAGGCAGCGUACCGGCGCCAGACUGACGCUGAGGCACGAAAGCGUGGGGAUCGAACAGGAUUAGAUACCCUGGUAGUC
RNAcentral lists this ribosomal RNA (456 nucleotides) under uncultured bacterium. RNAcentral's name for it is "partial 16S ribosomal RNA". It matches the Rfam family "Bacterial small subunit ribosomal RNA", at positions 338 to 795 of the family's 1533-position model. The record is from RNAcentral.